CCUACGGGUGGCAGCCGUGGGGAAUAUUGCGCAAUGGGCGAAAGCCUGACGCAGCGACGCCGCGUGAGGGAUGAAGGUCUUCGGAUCGUAAACCUCUGUCAGCAGGGAAGAACGGUCACUGUGCUAAUCAGCAGUGAAUUGACGGUACCUGCAAAGGAAGCACCGGCUAACUCCGUGCCAGCAGCGGCGGUAAUACGGAGGGUGCGAGCGUUAAUCGUAAUUACUGGGCGUAAAGCGCUCGUAGGCGGUGUGGCAAGUCAAGGGUGAAAUGCCCGCGCUCAACGUGGGGACUGCCGUUGAAACUGGCAAACUUGAGUGUGUGAGAGGAUAGUGGAAUGCGUGGUGUAGGAGUGAAAUGCGUAGAUAUC
Molecule: ribosomal RNA, 368 nt
Filed under: uncultured bacterium
Lineage: Bacteria
Description: partial 16S ribosomal RNA
Rfam family: Bacterial small subunit ribosomal RNA
Source: RNAcentral